GUCGUGAGAUGUUGGGUUAAGUCCCGCAACGAGCGCAACCCUUGUCUCAUGUUGCCAGCACGUAAUGGUGGGGACUCGUGAGAGACUGCCGGGGUCAACUCGGAGGAAGGUGGGGAUGACGUCAAGUCAUCAUGCCCCUUAUGUCCAGGGCUUCACACAUGCUACAAUGGCCGGUACAAAGGGCUGCGAUGCCGUGAGGUGGAGCGAAUCCUUUCAAAGCCGGUCUCAGUUCGGAUCGGGGUCUGCAACUCGACCCCGUGAAGUCGGAGUCGCUAGUAAUCGCAGAUCAGCAACGCUGCGGUGAAUACGUUCCCGGGCCUUGUACACACCGCCCGUCACGUCAUGAAAGUCGGUAACACCCGAAGCCGGUGGCCUAACCCCUUGUGGGAGGGAGCCGUCGAAGGUGGGAUCGGCGAUUGGGACGAAGUCGUAACAAGGUAGCCGUACCGGAAGGUGCGGCUGGAUCACCUCCUUUCUAAGGAGCACCACGAGACUCAAGCCGGCCCGCAUCUCGCGGAUCACCGAUGUCUUGGGCGAAUCUGUGGAUGGCCGUCACCUGUAGUGGGUGGGGGUCUGGUGCACAACAAACGCGUGGUCGGUGGGGAAACACCGGCCGGAAUUGAUCAUCAGACACACUAUUGGGCUUUGAGACAACAGGCCCGCCUUCUCUUCGUCCCGUGUGUUGGGAAACCGGAGAGGGUUGCGCUCGGGAUGUUGGUCCGGGUGGCGUGUUGUUGCCCUGCUUUGGUGGUGGGGUGUGGUGUUUGAUUUGUGGAUAGUGGUUGCGAGCAUCGAGCGCGCAAGGUUCCGUGCCUUUUUGGGGUGCGGGUUUUUGUGUGUCUGAUGUGCAAUUUUUCUGAUGCCCGCAUGCGCUUGUCGGUGUUUCGGCACUGUGGGUGUGUGUGGGUGACUCAUUUUUUGGUUUUGUGUUGUAAGUGUUUAAGGGCGCAUGGUGGAUGCCUUGGCACUGGGAGCCGAUGAAGGACGUGGGAGGCUGCGUUAUGCCUCGGGGAGCUGUCAACCGAGCGUGGAUCCGAGGAUGU
RNAcentral lists this small RNA (1043 nucleotides) under uncultured Mycobacterium sp. Its description in RNAcentral is "bacterial SSU rRNA". The stretch from base 1 to 475 matches the Rfam family "Bacterial small subunit ribosomal RNA", at positions 1064 to 1533 of the family's 1533-position model. The record is from RNAcentral. Lineage: Bacteria; Bacillati; Actinomycetota; Actinomycetes; Mycobacteriales; Mycobacteriaceae.